AUUGAACGCUGGCGGCAUGCCUUACACAUGCAAGUCGAACGGUAACGGGCCUUCGGGUGCCGACGAGUGGCGAACGGGUGAGUAAUACAUCGGAACGUGCCCGAUCGUGGGGGAUAACGAGGCGAAAGCUUUGCUAAUACCGCAUACGAUCUACGGAUGAAAGCAGGGGACCGCAAGGCCUUGCGCGGACGGAGCGGCCGAUGGCGGAUUAGGUAGUUGGUGGGAUAAAAGCUUACCAAGCCGACGAUCUGUAGCUGGUCUGAGAGGAUGAUGAGCCACACUGGGACUGAGACACGGCCCAGACUCCUACGGGAGGCAGCAGUGGGGAAUUUUGGACAAUGGGCGCAAGCCUGAUCCAGCCAUGCCGCGUGCAGGAUGAAGGCCUUCGGGUUGUAAACUGCUUUUGUACGGAACGAAAAGCCUUCUUUUAAUACAGGGGGGUCAUGACGGUACCGUAAGAAUAAGCACCGGCUAACUACGUG
Molecule: ribosomal RNA, 482 nt
Filed under: uncultured bacterium
Lineage: Bacteria
Description: partial 16S ribosomal RNA
Rfam family: Bacterial small subunit ribosomal RNA
Source: RNAcentral